This 153-nucleotide ribosomal RNA is filed under the name Biatoropsis hafellneri. RNAcentral describes it as "5.8S ribosomal RNA". It matches the Rfam family "5.8S ribosomal RNA". Rfam says of the family: 5.8S ribosomal RNA (5.8S rRNA) is a component of the large subunit of the eukaryotic ribosome. It is transcribed by RNA polymerase I as part of the 45S precursor that also contains 18S and 28S rRNA. Lineage: Eukaryota; Fungi; Basidiomycota; Tremellomycetes; Tremellales; Tremellaceae. The record is from RNAcentral.
AACUUUCAACAACGGAUCUCUUGGCUCUUGCAUCGAUGAAGAACGCAGCGAAAUGCGAUAAGUAAUGUGAAUUGCAGAAUUCAGUGAAUCAUCGAAUCUUUGAACGCACCUUGCGCCUUCUGGUAUUCCGGAAGGCAUGCCUGUUUGAGUGUC